GAUGAAGAACGUAGCGAAAUGCGAUAAGUAAUGCGAAUUGCAGAAUUCCAGUGAGUCAUCGAAUCUUUGAACGCACAUUGCGCCCUUUGGUAUUCCGAAGGGCAUGCCUGUUCGAGCGUCAUUAUCACCCCUCAAGCCCUCGGCUUGGUGUUGGACGGUUUGGUGGAGGCCCCCUCGGGGGCUCCUGCCCCUCCCAAAGACAAUGACGGCGGCUUCGUUGGACCCCCGGUACACUGAGUUCUUCACGGGACACGUAUCGGACACAUGGGUUUACGGGACACGGUCUGCCUCCCCUCAGGGAGAAUCUUUCUAAGGUUGACCUCGGAUCAGGUAGGGAUACCCGCUGAACUUAAGCAUAUCAAUAAGCGGAGGA
This 373-nucleotide unclassified non-coding RNA is filed under the name soil metagenome. Its description in RNAcentral is "partial contains 5.8S ribosomal RNA, internal transcribed spacer 2, and large subunit ribosomal RNA". The stretch from base 1 to 121 matches the Rfam family "5.8S ribosomal RNA", at positions 35 to 154 of the family's 154-position model. The record is from RNAcentral.